CGCGAAGUAGAGCAGCGGUAGCUCGUCGGGCUCAUAACCCGAAGGUCGGAGGUUCGAACCCUCCCUUCGCAACAA
Molecule: transfer RNA, 75 nt
Filed under: Hanamia caeni
Lineage: Bacteria; Pseudomonadati; Bacteroidota; Chitinophagia; Chitinophagales; Chitinophagaceae
Also listed under: 1 other name
Description: Ferruginibacter sp. BO-59 tRNA-Met
Rfam family: tRNA
About the family: Transfer RNA (tRNA) molecules are approximately 80 nucleotides in length. Their secondary structure includes four short double-helical elements and three loops (D, anti-codon, and T loops). Further hydrogen bonds mediate the characteristic L-shaped molecular structure. tRNAs have two regions of fundamental functional importance: the anti-codon, which is responsible for specific mRNA codon recognition, and the 3' end, to which the tRNAs corresponding amino acid is attached (by aminoacyl-tRNA synthetases). tRNAs cope with the degeneracy of the genetic code in two manners: having more than one tRNA (with a specific anti-codon) for a particular amino acid; and 'wobble' base-pairing, i.e. permitting non-standard base-pairing at the 3rd anti-codon position.
Source: RNAcentral